AGAUUGAACGCUGGCGGCAGGCCUAACACAUGCAAGUCGAGCGGUAGAGAGGUGCUUGCAUCUCUUGAGAGCGGCGGACGGGUGAGUAAUGCCUAGGAAUCUGCCUAGUGGUGGGGGAUAACGUUCGGAAACGGACGCUAAUACCGCAUACGUCCUACGGGAGAAAGCGGGGGACCUUCGGGCCUCGCGCCAUUAGAUGAGCCUAGGUCGGAUUAGCUAGUUGGUGAGGUAAUGGCUCACCGAGGCGACGAUCCGUAACUGGUCUGGAGAGGAUGAUCAGUCACACUGGAACUGAGACACGGUCCAGACUCCUACGGGA
RNAcentral lists this ribosomal RNA (319 nucleotides) under uncultured soil bacterium. RNAcentral describes it as "bacterial SSU rRNA". It matches the Rfam family "Bacterial small subunit ribosomal RNA", at positions 26 to 346 of the family's 1533-position model. The record is from RNAcentral.